RNAcentral lists this ribosomal RNA (2436 nucleotides) under Escherichia coli. RNAcentral's name for it is "partial 23S ribosomal RNA". It matches the Rfam family "Bacterial large subunit ribosomal RNA", at positions 398 to 2819 of the family's 2925-position model. The record is from RNAcentral. Lineage: Bacteria; Pseudomonadati; Pseudomonadota; Gammaproteobacteria; Enterobacterales; Enterobacteriaceae.
UGUGAGCUCGAUGAGUAGGGCGGGACACGUGGUAUCCUGUCUGAAUAUGGGGGGACCAUCCUCCAAGGCUAAAUACUCCUGACUGACCGAUAGUGAACCAGUACCGUGAGGGAAAGGCGAAAAGAACCCCGGCGAGGGGAGUGAAAAAGAACCUGAAACCGUGUACGUACAAGCAGUGGGAGCACGCUUAGGCGUGUGACUGCGUACCUUUUGUAUAAUGGGUCAGCGACUUAUAUUCUGUAGCAAGGUUAACCGAAUAGGGGAGCCGAAGGGAAACCGAGUCUUAACUGGGCGUUAAGUUGCAGGGUAUAGACCCGAAACCCGGUGAUCUAGCCAUGGGCAGGUUGAAGGUUGGGUAACACUAACUGGAGGACCGAACCGACUAAUGUUGAAAAAUUAGCGGAUGACUUGUGGCUGGGGGUGAAAGGCCAAUCAAACCGGGAGAUAGCUGGUUCUCCCCGAAAGCUAUUUAGGUAGCGCCUCGUGAAUUCAUCUCCGGGGGUAGAGCACUGUUUCGGCAAGGGGGUCAUCCCGACUUACCAACCCGAUGCAAACUGCGAAUACCGGAGAAUGUUAUCACGGGAGACACACGGCGGGUGCUAACGUCCGUCGUGAAGAGGGAAACAACCCAGACCGCCAGCUAAGGUCCCAAAGUCAUGGUUAAGUGGGAAACGAUGUGGGAAGGCCCAGACAGCCAGGAUGUUGGCUUAGAAGCAGCCAUCAUUUAAAGAAAGCGUAAUAGCUCACUGGUCGAGUCGGCCUGCGCGGAAGAUGUAACGGGGCUAAACCAUGCACCGAAGCUGCGGCAGCGACGCUUAUGCGUUGUUGGGUAGGGGAGCGUUCUGUAAGCCUGUGAAGGUGUGCUGUGAGGCAUGCUGGAGGUAUCAGAAGUGCGAAUGCUGACAUAAGUAACGAUAAAGCGGGUGAAAAGCCCGCUCGCCGGAAGACCAAGGGUUCCUGUCCAACGUUAAUCGGGGCAGGGUGAGUCGACCCCUAAGGCGAGGCCGAAAGGCGUAGUCGAUGGGAAACAGGUUAAUAUUCCUGUACUUGGUGUUACUGCGAAGGGGGGACGGAGAAGGCUAUGUUGGCCGGGCGACGGUUGUCCCGGUUUAAGCGUGUAGGCUGGUUUUCCAGGCAAAUCCGGAAAAUCAAGGCUGAGGCGUGAUGACGAGGCACUACGGUGCUGAAGCAACAAAUGCCCUGCUUCCAGGAAAAGCCUCUAAGCAUCAGGUAACAUCAAAUCGUACCCCAAACCGACACAGGUGGUCAGGUAGAGAAUACCAAGGCGCUUGAGAGAACUCGGGUGAAGGAACUAGGCAAAAUGGUGCCGUAACUUCGGGAGAAGGCACGCUGAUAUGUAGGUGAAGUCCCUUGCGGAUGGAGCUGAAAUCAGUCGAAGAUACCAGCUGGCUGCAACUGUUUAUUAAAAACACAGCACUGUGCAAACACGAAAGUGGACGUAUACGGUGUGACGCCUGCCCGGUGCCGGAAGGUUAAUUGAUGGGGUUAGCGCAAGCGAAGCUCUUGAUCGAAGCCCCGGUAAACGGCGGCCGUAACUAUAACGGUCCUAAGGUAGCGAAAUUCCUUGUCGGGUAAGUUCCGACCUGCACGAAUGGCGUAAUGAUGGCCAGGCUGUCUCCACCCGAGACUCAGUGAAAUUGAACUCGCUGUGAAGAUGCAGUGUACCCGCGGCAAGACGGAAAGACCCCGUGAACCUUUACUAUAGCUUGACACUGAACAUUGAGCCUUGAUGUGUAGGAUAGGUGGGAGGCUUGGAAGUGUGGACGCCAGUCUGCAUGGAGCCGACCUUGAAAUACCACCCUUUAAUGUUUGAUGUUCUAACGUUGACCCGUAAUCCGGGUUGCGGACAGUGUCUGGUGGGUAGUUUGACUGGGGCGGUCUCCUCCUAAAGAGUAACGGAGGAGCACGAAGGUUGGCUAAUCCUGGUCGGACAUCAGGAGGUUAGUGCAAUGGCAUAAGCCAGCUUGACUGCGAGCGUGACGGCGCGAGCAGGUGCGAAAGCAGGUCAUAGUGAUCCGGUGGUUCUGAAUGGAAGGGCCAUCGCUCAACGGAUAAAAGGUACUCCGGGGAUAACAGGCUGAUACCGCCCAAGAGUUCAUAUCGACGGCGGUGUUUGGCACCUCGAUGUCGGCUCAUCACAUCCUGGGGCUGAAGUAGGUCCCAAGGGUAUGGCUGUUCGCCAUUUAAAGUGGUACGCGAGCUGGGUUUAGAACGUCGUGAGACAGUUCGGUCCCUAUCUGCCGUGGGCGCUGGAGAACUGAGGGGGGCUGCUCCUAGUACGAGAGGACCGGAGUGGACGCAUCACUGGUGUUCGGGUUGUCAUGCCAAUGGCACUGCCCGGUAGCUAAAUGCGGAAGAGAUAAGUGCUGAAAGCAUCUAAGCACGAAACUUGCCCCGAGAUGAGUUCUCCCUGAC